Pongo pygmaeus (Bornean orangutan) is the source of this 594-nucleotide long non-coding RNA. RefSeq lists it as uncharacterized. NCBI's taxonomy places the organism in Eukaryota, Metazoa, Chordata, Mammalia, Primates, Hominidae. The record is from RefSeq and is a predicted model, not a curated record. The transcript has 3 exons.
CAGGAAGAGUGUUCUUGGUCACAAUACUAUCUUGAAUCUGCCUAGAUGUUUCUCCACAUUGACUUCCAUCUUUACUUUCAACAAAUCUCUCUAACAUACGACAUCUGUAAAAAAUGGGAAAUAGAUCACUAAAGGGCCAACCAUAUCCCCUUUCCAUAUUCCAAAUCUUUGAAUAGCAUGAAUGACCAAGAAACAAAUGUCUCCAAUUAAAUAAGUGGAAAUGCGAUGUCAUCCUUACCUACACAAUCCAGGUUCCUGAUGGUUUCCUGCAUCACAUCUUUGUAGAGAUUCUUCUGACAAGGACCCAGCAAAGCCCACUCUUCUCGGGUGAAGUUCACAGCCACAUCCUCUAAAGCCACUGAGGCCUGAUCCAUCCCACAUGUACAGAGGAGGAAGGGUGAAAAUCACAGUACUGAGAAUCUAUACUCACUUCAUAAAUUUCACAUGAUGCUGUGGUUUCCAACCAUUUUAUUCAAUGACAUGGGACUCUGCAGAGUCCCCACCAGCAAGAAGGUUCUUACCAGAUGCCCAGCCUUAAUCUUGGACUUCCCAGCCUCCAGAAAUGUAAAAAUUAAAUACUGUUUCUUAUAAAUU